GAUGAACGCUGGCGGCGUGCCUAAUACAUGCAAGUCGAGCGAACAGAUGAGGAGCUUGCUCCUCUGACGUUAGCGGCGGACGGGUGAGUAACACGUGGAUAACCUACCUAUAAGACUGGGAUAACUUCGGGAAACCGGAGCUAAUACCGGAUAAUAUAUUGAACCGCAUGGUUCAAUAGUGAAAGACGGUUUUGCUGUCACUUAUAGAUGGAUCCGCGCCGCAUUAGCUAGUUGGUAAGGUAACGGCUUACCAAGGCAACGAUGCGUAGCCGACCUGAGAGGGUGAUCGGCCACACUGGAACUGGGACACGGUCCAGACUCCUGCGAGAGGCAGCAGUAGGGAAUCUUCCGCGAUGGGCGAAGUCCUGACGGAGCAACGCCGCGUGAGUGAUGAAGGUAUUCGGAUCGUAAAACUCUGUUAUUAGGGAAGAACAAAUGUGUAAGUAACUAUGCACGUCUUGACGGUACCUGAUCAGAAAGCCACGGCUAACUACGUG
Molecule: ribosomal RNA, 497 nt
Filed under: uncultured bacterium
Lineage: Bacteria
Description: partial 16S ribosomal RNA
Rfam family: Bacterial small subunit ribosomal RNA
Source: RNAcentral